AACGAACGCUGGCGGCGUGCCUAACACAUGCAAGUCGUGCGAGAAAGUUCCUUCGGGAGCGAGUAAAGCGGCGCACGGGUGAGUAACACGUAGGUAACCUGCCCCCCAGUCUGGAACAACUAGAGGAAACUCUAGCUAAUGCCGGAUGAGACCACGAUCCCUUCGGGGGUUGCGGCCAAAGAUGGCCUCUACUUGUAAGCUAUCGCUGAGGGAUGGGCCUGCGGGCCAUUAGCUUGUUGGUGAGGUAACGGCUCACCAAGGCUGUGAUGGCUAGCUGGUCUGAGAGGAUGACCAGCCACACUGGGACUGAGACACGGCCCAGACUCCUACGGGAGGCAGCAGUGGGGAAUAUUGCGCAAUGGGCGAAAGCCUGACGCAGCGACGCCGCGUGGGUGAUGAGGGCC
Molecule: ribosomal RNA, 404 nt
Filed under: uncultured bacterium
Lineage: Bacteria
Description: bacterial SSU rRNA
Rfam family: Bacterial small subunit ribosomal RNA
Source: RNAcentral